This is a long non-coding RNA of Cucumis sativus (cucumber), 676 nucleotides long. RefSeq lists it as uncharacterized. The transcript has 2 exons. NCBI's taxonomy places the organism in Eukaryota, Viridiplantae, Streptophyta, Magnoliopsida, Cucurbitales, Cucurbitaceae. The record is from RefSeq and is a predicted model, not a curated record.
AUAAACAUUAUCUCUCUCUUUCUCUCUCUCUCUCUCUCUCUCUCUCUCUCGCUCUCGCUCUCUCUGUGUGUGUUCUUUUUUCUUGGAUUUGAAAAUCAUUUGGCUUCCAAAUUUCCAUCAAUGUCCAUUCCUGAACUGCCAUUUUCACCUUCUAAUCCAAAGGUUCAGAGAGUGUCAAAAUCCACUUCAGACAGAUUGCUUCAGAAAUUCUUCGAUGCUACUGAAUUUGGAUUUGAUUACGAGAGAAGUGGGCUCUGGUCUCCCCCUCUUCAACGCACUGUUUAUUUAACUUCUUCGGGUCAAGUUCUCAAUCAAACGGAUUUACAUACAAAACUUCAAACCGUCUUGAAUUCUCGAAGUAGAACACAUAAAAGUUGUUUCAAAUUCAGAGUGUUUUGGUGCUAUGUGAAGCAAAUCUGAAAGCUGGAAUCUUUAUUGCUUCUAUGCCUUCAAUUUUUCACUUAAUGGGAUGGAUGAUAAUGGAGUUUCAUAGUCCCAGCCAAAACAAAAGCAGAAGGGGUCCCCCAAAGAAGGAAAAAAUAACCCAUCCUAUACAGUUCUUAUUUUGUUUAUUUUGUACAAGUUCGAUAUUGUUGAUAUAACAUAUUAAUGUUGCUAAUCCAAAGUUCAAUCAUAUAACAUCAAUCAAAUUUGAACUUCAACUCUUUCCUUUUCC